Molecule: ribosomal RNA, 380 nt
Filed under: uncultured archaeon
Lineage: Archaea
Description: bacterial SSU rRNA
Rfam family: Archaeal small subunit ribosomal RNA
Source: RNAcentral
UAAUACCAGCUCUCCGAGUGGUGGGGAUGCUUAUUGGGCCUAAAGCAUUCGUAGCCUGCUUGGCAAGUCCUCCGUUAAAUCCAACGAUUCAAUCGUUGGGCUGCGGGGGAUACUGUCCGGCUAGGGGGCGGGAGAGGCCGACGGUAUCCUCGGGGUAGGGGUGAAAUCCUAUAAUCCCGGGAGGACCACCAGUGGCGAAGGCUGUCGGCUAGAACGCGCUCGACGGUGAGGGAUGAAAGCUGGGGGAGCGAACCGGAUUAGAUACCCGGGUAGUCCCAGCUGUAAACGAUGCAGGCUAGGUGUCGGCGUGGCUACGAGCCACUCCGGUGCCGCAGGGAAGCUCAUAAGCCCGCCGCCUGGGAAGUACGGUCGCAAGGCUG